Molecule: ribosomal RNA, 490 nt
Filed under: uncultured Sphingobacteriales bacterium
Lineage: Bacteria; Pseudomonadati; Bacteroidota; Sphingobacteriia; Sphingobacteriales
Description: bacterial SSU rRNA
Rfam family: Bacterial small subunit ribosomal RNA
Source: RNAcentral
CCCGCUCAGAAACUUAAAGGAAUGACGGGGCCCGCACAAGCGGUGGAGCAUGUGGUUUAAUUCGAUGAUACGCGAGGAACCUUACCUGGGCUCAAAUGUAUGUUGACGUAUUCUGAAAGGGAUACUUCUUCGGACAAUAUACAAGGUGCUGCAUGGUUGUCGUCAGCUCGUGCCGUGAGGUGUCGGGUUAAGUCCCAUAACGAGCGCAACCCCUAUCAUUAGUUGCCAUCAGGUCAAGCUGGGGACUCUAAUGAAACUGCCUACGCAAGUAGUGAGGAAGGUGGGGAUGACGUCAAAUCAGCACGGCCCUUAUGUCCUGGGCUACACACGUGCUACAAUGGCCGGUACAGAGCGCAGCGAAGCCGCGAGGCAAAGCGAAUCGCAAAAAGCCGGUCUCAGUACGGAUUGGAGUCUGAAACUCGACUCCAUGAAGUUGGAAUCGCUAGUAAUCGCGCAUCAGCAUGGCGCGGUGAAUACGUUCCCGGGCCUU